RNAcentral lists this ribosomal RNA (753 nucleotides) under Triticum aestivum (bread wheat). RNAcentral describes it as "partial small subunit ribosomal RNA". The record is from RNAcentral. Lineage: Eukaryota; Viridiplantae; Streptophyta; Magnoliopsida; Poales; Poaceae.
AUGUGUGUACAUUGGAGCGGGGACUUGGCGAAAAACCCCGAAGGCGCUGCUGGAGAUGGUGGUGGAGCGCCCUACUCGUCCUUCGGGUCACCGGUGGCGGGGCCUGCUUGCCGAGGUCCGUCAACCGACGCGCGGGCGCAUGGCGUGCUGCUGGUGAUGCUUGUUGCAUGCACACGCGAGGAGGAAGGAGAGGAGACCGGUUCAGUAGUGAGGAGGAUGGAGGGGAGGCCCGGGCAGCGCAUGGGGCUACUGUUGCUGCUCCGGCAAGCAGGCAGCGGGUUGAGGCACUCGGGAUCCAGCGUCCAGAUCAAGCGGGGCGAGGGAGCUGCAGCCGGGAGGCUUAGGCGAUGGGCAGAGAGGCGUGACGAGGCGGAGCAAGGGCCGGCGACGAGGCAAGGCGACGAAGGGAGCCUGCGAGGGAGGAGAGGGAGACGAGCGCAGGGAGAUGGGCGGCUCUGGUCCGUCGUCCGAGUCGCGGAGGACGGUGGGGAGGCAUCACAGGCGUGCUGGUCAGGAGCUCGAGGUGACCGGGUUGGAGAAGGAGGGCAAGGUAGGGAGGACGAGGGGGAGAGGGAAAGAGGUGGCGGCGCUAUGGACCAGGGAGGACGACGGCUGCGGGCGCGGGGCCUCGCUUCUCCCCCAGGCGAUGCAAGGAAGAAGGAGGGGAUCGAGGGAGCUGCGAGCGAGAGAGGUGGGGAUCGAGCGUGGUGGCGGCGCUGGGACUGGGAGAAAGAGGCUGCGAGGGAGAGAUGA